AACCCCGGCCGAACGGCCACCCAGAGGCUGUGCUGAGCUGGCGCAGCGGCAGCAGCAUGAGCCGGACCCUCGCAUCGGCCGUGCCCCUGUCGAGUCCCGACUACUACGAGAGGCUGGGCCAACUCCAGCACGGGCUGCGGGACAGUGAAAAGAAGAGAUUGGACCUGGAAAAGAAACUUUAUGAAUAUAAUCAGUCUGAUACAUGCAGAGUUAAGCUGAAAUAUGUAAAACUAAAGAAUUAUCUGAAGGAAAUAUGUGAAUCUGAAAAGAAGGCUCAUACUCGAAACCAAGAAUAUUUAAAGCGAUUUGAGCGUGUCCAAGCUCAUGUUGUACACUUCACCACAAAUACAGAGAAGCUUCAAAAACUGAAGGAAGACUUUAUGCAGUUAUCACUUCUUUUUCCUUCAGCAAAAUGAAUUGAAUAAAACUCUUAUAUUUCUAUGAGAAAGUGCUCUGUCUUUGGAAGCUUGAAUAUGAGACUCAAAUUAAGAAGAUGCUACGCUCAAAAGAUAGCCUGGGACUAAAAGAGGAACUGACAGAUGAAGACAGAGAAAAGG
RNAcentral lists this small RNA (557 nucleotides) under Pan troglodytes (chimpanzee). Its description in RNAcentral is "processed transcript". The record is from RNAcentral. Lineage: Eukaryota; Metazoa; Chordata; Mammalia; Primates; Hominidae.